AAAUUGAAGAGUUUGAUCAUGGCUCAGAUUGAACGCUGGCGGCAGGCCUAACACAUGCAAGUCGAACGGUAACAGGAAGCAGCUUGCUGCUUCGCUGACGAGUGGCGGACGGGUGAGUAAUGUCUGGGAAACUGCCUGAUGGAGGGGGAUAACUACUGGAAACGGUGGCUAAUACCGCAUAACGUCGCAAGACCAAAGAGGGGGACCUUCGGGCCUCUUGCCAUCAGAUGUGCCCAGAUGGGAUUAGCUGGUUGGUGAGGUAACGGCUCACCAAGGCGACGAUCCCUAGCUGGUCUGAGAGGAUGACCAGCCACACUGGAACUGAGACACGGUCCAGACUCCUACGGGAGGCAGCAGUGGGGAAUAUUGCACAAUGGGCGCAAGCCUGAUGCAGCCAUGCCGCGUGUAUGAAGAAGGCCUUCGGGUUGUAAAGUACUUUCAGCGGGGAGGAAGGUGUUGUGGUUAAUAACUGCAGCAAUUGACGUUACCCGCAGAAGAAGCACCGGCUAACUCCGUGCCAGCAGCCGC
RNAcentral lists this ribosomal RNA (528 nucleotides) under Salmonella enterica subsp. enterica serovar Kentucky. Its description in RNAcentral is "bacterial SSU rRNA". It matches the Rfam family "Bacterial small subunit ribosomal RNA", at positions 1 to 518 of the family's 1533-position model. The record is from RNAcentral. Lineage: Bacteria; Pseudomonadati; Pseudomonadota; Gammaproteobacteria; Enterobacterales; Enterobacteriaceae.